RNAcentral lists this long non-coding RNA (247 nucleotides) under Mytilus galloprovincialis (Mediterranean mussel). Lineage: Eukaryota; Metazoa; Mollusca; Bivalvia; Mytilida; Mytilidae. The record is from RNAcentral.
CUAGCUGUCAAAUUCAUGGUCACCGAUUUGACUCAAAUCCUCAUGUUUGAUUUAUAACAAUGUAAAACAUUUAUCCAAACUAUCAAAAGUCUAAAAUAAACAGUUUACAGAGCAUUGGGUAGAUAAUAUAUAGGUUCGUUUCGUGUGUAUUUUAGUCCAGACGCCAUUUAAUUAACUAUCGAUUUGACCUCAGAUGACCAUAUAAGCGAUGUAAACAUAAAUAAAGGUAUGAAUAGAUUAAACCAAC